Molecule: ribosomal RNA, 2901 nt
Filed under: Shigella boydii 5216-82
Lineage: Bacteria; Pseudomonadati; Pseudomonadota; Gammaproteobacteria; Enterobacterales; Enterobacteriaceae
Description: 23S ribosomal RNA
Source: RNAcentral
AAGGUUAAGCCUCACGGUUCAUUAGUACCGGUUAGCUCAACGCAUCGCUGCGCUUACACACCCGGCCUAUCAACGUCGUCGUCUUCAACGUUCCUUCAGGACCCUUAAAGGGUCAGGGAGAACUCAUCUCGGGGCAAGUUUCGUGCUUAGAUGCUUUCAGCACUUAUCUCUUCCGCAUUUAGCUACCGGGCAGUGCCAUUGGCAUGACAACCCGAACACCAGUGAUGCGUCCACUCCGGUCCUCUCGUACUAGGAGCAGCCCCCCUCAGUUCUCCAGCGCCCACGGCAGAUAGGGACCGAACUGUCUCACGACGUUCUAAACCCAGCUCGCGUACCACUUUAAAUGGCGAACAGCCAUACCCUUGGGACCUACUUCAGCCCCAGGAUGUGAUGAGCCGACAUCGAGGUGCCAAACACCGCCGUCGAUAUGAACUCUUGGGCGGUAUCAGCCUGUUAUCCCCGGAGUACCUUUUAUCCGUUGAGCGAUGGCCCUUCCAUUCAGAACCACCGGAUCACUAUGACCUGCUUUCGCACCUGCUCGCGCCGUCACGCUCGCAGUCAAGCUGGCUUAUGCCAUUGCACUAACCUCCUGAUGUCCGACCAGGAUUAGCCAACCUUCGUGCUCCUCCGUUACUCUUUAGGAGGAGACCGCCCCAGUCAAACUACCCACCAGACACUGUCCGCAACCCGGAUUACGGGUCCACGUUAGAACAUCAAACAUUAAAGGGUGGUAUUUCAAGGCCGGCUCCAUGCAGACUGGCGUCCACACUUCAAAGCCUCCCACCUAUCCUACACAUCAAGGCUCAAUGUUCAGUGUCAAGCUAUAGUAAAGGUUCACGGGGUCUUUCCGUCUUGCCGCGGGUACACUGCAUCUUCACAGCGAGUUCAAUUUCACUGAGUCUCGGGUGGAGACAGCCUGGCCAUCAUUACGCCAUUCGUGCAGGUCGGAACUUACCCGACAAGGAAUUUCGCUACCUUAGGACCGUUAUAGUUACGGCCGCCGUUUACCGGGGCUUCGAUCAAGAGCUUCGCUUGCGCUGACCCCAUCAAUUAACCUUCCGGCACCGGGCAGGCGUCACACCGUAUACGUCCACUUUCGUGUUUGCACAGUGCUGUGUUUUUAAUAAACAGUUGCAGCCAGCUGGUAUCUUCGACUGAUUUCAGCUCCAUCCGCGAGGGACUUCACCUACAUAUCAGCGUGCCUUCUCCCGAAGUUACGGCACCAUUUUGCCUAGUUCCUUCACCCGAGUUCUCUCAAGCGCCUUGGUAUUCUCUACCUGACCACCUGUGUCGGUUUGGGGUACGAUUUGAUGUUACCUGAUGCUUAGAGGCUUUUCCUGGAAGCAGGGCAUUUGUUGCUUCAGCACCGUAGUGCCUCGUCAUCACGCCUCAGCCUUGAUUUUCCGGAUUUGCCUGGAAAAUCAGCCUACACGCUUAAACCGGGACAACCGUCGCCCGGCCAACAUAGCCUUCUCCGUCCCCCCUUCGCAGUAACACCAAGUACAGGAAUAUUAACCUGUUUCCCAUCGACUACGCCUUUCGGCCUCGCCUUAGGGGUCGACUCACCCUGCCCCGAUUAACGUUGGACAGGAACCCUUGGUCUUCCGGCGAGCGGGCUUUUCACCCGCUUUAUCGUUACUUAUGUCAGCAUUCGCACUUCUGAUACCUCCAGCAUGCCUCACAGCACACCUUCACAGGCUUACAGAACGCUCCCCUACCCAACAACGCAUAAGCGUCGCUGCCGCAGCUUCGGUGCAUGGUUUAGCCCCGUUACAUCUUCCGCGCAGGCCGACUCGACCAGUGAGCUAUUACGCUUUCUUUAAAUGAUGGCUGCUUCUAAGCCAACAUCCUGGCUGUCUGGGCCUUCCCACAUCGUUUCCCACUUAACCAUGACUUUGGGACCUUAGCUGGCGGUCUGGGUUGUUUCCCUCUUCACGACGGACGUUAGCACCCGCCGUGUGUCUCCCGUGAUAACAUUCUCCGGUAUUCGCAGUUUGCAUCGGGUUGGUAAGUCGGGAUGACCCCCUUGCCGAAACAGUGCUCUACCCCCGGAGAUGAAUUCACGAGGCGCUACCUAAAUAGCUUUCGGGGAGAACCAGCUAUCUCCCGGUUUGAUUGGCCUUUCACCCCCAGCCACAAGUCAUCCGCUAAUUUUUCAACAUUAGUCGGUUCGGUCCUCCAGUUAGUGUUACCCAACCUUCAACCUGCCCAUGGCUAGAUCACCGGGUUUCGGGUCUAUACCCUGCAACUUAACGCCCAGUUAAGACUCGGUUUCCCUUCGGCUCCCCUAUUCGGUUAACCUUGCUACAGAAUAUAAGUCGCUGACCCAUUAUACAAAAGGUACGCAGUCACCCCAUAAAGAGGCUCCCACUGCUUGUACGUACACGGUUUCAGGUUCUUUUUCACUCCCCUCGCCGGGGUUCUUUUCGCCUUUCCCUCACGGUACUGGUUCACUAUCGGUCAGUCAGGAGUAUUUAGCCUUGGAGGAUGGUCCCCCCAUAUUCAGACAGGAUACCACGUGUCCCGCCCUACUCAUCGAGCUCACAGCAUGUGCAUUUUUGUGUACGGGGCUGUCACCCUGUAUCGCGCGCCUUUCCAGACGCUUCCACUAACACACACACUGAUUCAGGCUCUGGGCUGCUCCCCGUUCGCUCGCCGCUACUGGGGGAAUCUCGGUUGAUUUCUUUUCCUCGGGGUACUUAGAUGUUUCAGUUCCCCCGGUUCGCCUCAUUAACCUAUGGAUUCAGUUAAUGAUAGUGUGUCGAAACACACUGGGUUUCCCCAUUCGGAAAUCGCCGGUUAUAACGGUUCAUAUCACCUUACCGACGCUUAUCGCAGAUUAGCACGUCCUUCAUCGCCUCUGACUGCCAGGGCAUCCACCGUGUACGCUUAGUCGCUUAA